GAUGAACGCUGGCGGCGUGCCUAAUACAUGCAAGUCGAGCGAACGGACGAGAAGCUUGCUUCUCUGAUGUUGGCGGCGGACGGGUGAGUAACACGUGGAUAACCUACCUAUAAGACUGGGAUAACUUCGGGAAACCGGAGCUAAUACCGGAUGAUAUUUUGAACCGCAUGGUUCAAAAGUGAAAGACGGUCUUGCUGUCACUUAUAGAUGGAUCCGCGCUGCAUUAGCUAGUUGGUAAGGUAACGGCUUACCAAGGCAACGAUGCAUAGCCGACCUGAGAGGGUGAUCGGCCACACUGGAACUGAGACACGGUCCAGACUCCUACGGGAGGCAGCAGUAGGGAAUCUUCCGCAAUGGGCGAAAGCCUGACGGAGCAACGCCGCGUGAGUGAUGAAGGUCUUCGGAUCGUAAAACUCUGCUAUUAGGGAAGAACAUAUGUGUAAGUAACUGUGCACAUCUUGACGGUACCUAAUCAGAAAGCCACGGCUAACUACGUG
Molecule: ribosomal RNA, 497 nt
Filed under: uncultured bacterium
Lineage: Bacteria
Description: partial 16S ribosomal RNA
Rfam family: Bacterial small subunit ribosomal RNA
Source: RNAcentral